This 495-nucleotide ribosomal RNA is filed under the name uncultured bacterium. RNAcentral's name for it is "partial 16S ribosomal RNA". It matches the Rfam family "Bacterial small subunit ribosomal RNA", at positions 29 to 507 of the family's 1533-position model. The record is from RNAcentral.
ACGAACGCUGGCGGCGCGUCUUAAGCAUGCAGGUCGAACGGCAAGAGAGGAGCUUGCUUCUCUCCUAGAGUGGCGGACUGGUGAGGAACACGUGGGUAAUCUACCCUUAAGAUGGGGAUAGCUGCUAGAAAUAGCAGGUAAUACCGAAUACACUCGGCAUAUCACAAGAGGUGUUGAGGAAAGGAAGCUACGGCUUCGCUUGAGGAUGAGCUUGCGUCCCAUUAGCUAGUUGGUGAGGUAAAGGCCCACCAAGGCGACGAUGGGUAUCCGGCCUGAGAGGGUGAACGGACACAUUGGGACUGAGAUACGGCCCAAACUCCUACGGGAGGCAGCAGCUAAGAAUAUUCCGCAAUGGACGGAAGUCUGACGGAGCGACGCCGCGUGGAUGAAGAAGGCUGAAAAGUUGUAAAAUCCUUUUGUUGAUGAAGAAUAAGGGUGAGAGGGAAUGCUCAUCUGAUGACGGUAAUCGACGAAUAAGCCCCGGCUAAUUACGUG